GUUGCUUAAGCGUUCACGUUAGGGUCACACAAUCAAUUACCUCCUAAAUGUAUCAUCUCUAUUUUCAAUAUCUGAAUACACAAGGAAACUAUAAUCUCCUCCUUCACCUUAUCGGUCUCUUCUUUACAACAAUUCAGUCAUACCAAUAACUGCUAUUUCCACCAAUAUAUUCACCCUCAUAAUCUCCAACUAUAAUACUGCGCCCUUAUAACUUUCAACACACAAAUAUCCUCAUUUCAAUCACUGGAAUUCUUCACACAGAAUUGCCAUUCACAUUACAGUGUUUCACACAAAUACAGACUCAUUCUCUCUGCUGAACUACAAUCAGAUUUCAGCAUUCAAUCUUUCUUCUUCUCAAAUAAUACCAAUCUCAUUUCCAUUCCAUAAUUCACUUAUUAAUAUUUAGAAACUCUCAAUCUUCUUAUUCAAAGAAAAUAACAAACAAAAGAAAAAGAGGUAGCACCAAGCUUACCCCGGCUCACAACUAUCACAACGAUGGCACCU
This 504-nucleotide long non-coding RNA is filed under the name Physcomitrium patens. Its description in RNAcentral is "long non-coding RNA (PPAT_LNC012459)". The record is from RNAcentral. Lineage: Eukaryota; Viridiplantae; Streptophyta; Bryopsida; Funariales; Funariaceae.